Molecule: ribosomal RNA, 423 nt
Filed under: uncultured bacterium
Lineage: Bacteria
Description: bacterial SSU rRNA
Rfam family: Bacterial small subunit ribosomal RNA
Source: RNAcentral
UGAGGAAUAUUGGUCAAUGGGCGCAAGCCUGAACCAGCCAUCCCGCGUGCAGGAAGACGGCCCUAUGGGUUGUAAACUGCUUUUCCAGGGGGAGAAUUUUUCUGUCGUGACAGGAAUUGACGGUACCCUGGGAAUAAGCAUCGGCUAACUCCGUGCCAGCAGCCGCGGUAAUACGGAGGAUGCGAGCGUUAUCCGGUUUUAUUGGGUUUAAAGGGUGCGUAGGCGGAUUGAUAAGUCAGUGGUGAAAACCUGCAGCUUAACUGUAGACUUGCCGUUGAUACUGUCAGUCUUGAGUGUGGUCAAGGUAGGCGGAAUGUGUGAUGUAGCGGUGAAAUGCUUAGAUAUUACACAGAACACCGAGUGCGAAGGCAGCUUACUGGGCCAUUACUGACGCUGAUGCACGAAAGCGUGGGGAUCGAACAG